CGAGUCCAAAACUAGUUUGUAUUCUUCAUAGCUGCCUCGCCUGAUUUGGAUGAUCUAGACUUUCCGAGUAUCCGUCUGUCGACUGCAAAGGCUGUUGUAACUGUAUGAGCCGGAGUUAUCAGGACUAGAUCAUUUGUCUACGUUCUCCACUGCAGCACUUGGCGUGGGGCGCUGGUCUCUGUCGCGGCCCCUGCGCUCCCCGGUCCCAAAGGAUAGAAAGUCAAUCAGAGUUUCUUCUUAAGCCUGUCUUAAAUAGCAGCAUAUUUCUACUAGAGACUUGUAAGUACCCUUUUUCUUCUCUCUGUAGGAAAGUAGAUAUUAAUUUACUGGAAAGAAAUGUCCUUUUUAGUAAAAUGACAAAAUAUAGCUAUGCAUAAAUGUAAUCAUUACGUAUUGCAGAUAUGUACCAAUAAAAUUAAAAAGAACAUUGUCAGCACCCUG
This 441-nucleotide long non-coding RNA is filed under the name Fukomys damarensis (Damara mole-rat). RNAcentral's name for it is "lncRNA (ENSFDAG00000031421.1)". The record is from RNAcentral. Lineage: Eukaryota; Metazoa; Chordata; Mammalia; Rodentia; Bathyergidae.